This is a microRNA precursor of Scleropages formosus (Asian bonytongue), 82 nucleotides long. It matches the Rfam family "mir-221 microRNA precursor family". Lineage: Eukaryota; Metazoa; Chordata; Actinopteri; Osteoglossiformes; Osteoglossidae. The record is from Rfam.
UCCAUGAGAUGCUCAGUAGUCAGUGUAGAUCCUGUGUUACACUCAGCAGCUACAUCUGGCUACUGGGUCUCUGAUGGUCCCC